CCUUGACUCACCUUACUCUGAUCUUUGCUUCCACAACACAUCUCCUUCAUUGACUCACACUCUCCUGACUCUCUCUUAUCAGGACCCUUGUGAUUACAUUAGCCACUCCAGGAUAAUCCCCCAACUCAAGAUCCUUAACUAAAUCAUAGCUUCAAAGUCCAUUUAGCACGUAAGAUAACAUAUUCACAUGUUCUGUGCAUUAGGAUGUGGAUUUCUUUGGGGGCCGUUAUUCUGCUUACCACAUUGCAGGAACUGUUCUUGAAUGAGAGAGACCAAAAAGACCAAAGGCAAUUCAUGGAAAUUGAUUGGAGCCUGGAUCAAGGCUGGGGGAAAACAGCUACAAAGGACCUUUUGGGGGCCUUUGGGGAAUUUAAGUACGGACUUAAGACUGGAUGGCAUUGUGGAAUUAGUGUUGAUUUUCUAACAGAUGUACUGCCACUGCCGAUAUGGUUGGUUGGAGAAUGUUCUUGUUUUGCGGAGGUGAGGGCUGAAGUAGGUUUCAAGUUUCGUGAUGUCUGCCCCUAUUUUUGGAUGGUUUGACAGAGGGGAAGUGUGUGCAUGUGCUGCAUAUUCAGAGAGGGGGAAGGGUGAAGUGGAUGUGAAGAGGCAUUAAUGGUCAUUGAAUCUAGAUGUUCACUGUAUGGUUCUUUUUGGUAGAUUUGAAAUUCUUAAAAAUGAGGGAAGAAAACCCAAUAAUAAUAAGUGGUAAAUUGGGGCUCAGUUUCCGUGGCCCCUCCUAUCUCCCAGACUUCCCAAGGAGGAGUCCCUGAGAUGGCGGCCUUUAUAUUUUCCAUGAGCACAUAGAACUGGAUUGAGAAUCUACCCUGAGUCCCCCAGACACGCACACUUCUUCCUUCAAACUCUUUUUCCAGAACUGAACUUGCUCAUUUAUGAUGUUCUUCUUAGGUCCAAGCCCAACUCUGCCUUCUUAAUGAAAUUUCUUUAUUGGUACUGAAUGCCUUGGAAACGAGAAGUGCAUUUCAGGCUGUUACCGAAGGUCUUUUCAUCUCUCCCCAAUCUCUGUUGCUUGUCAGGAGAUGUUUCCACUCUCUCCUUGGCCAGGGAGUUCAGGAAUUAAGAAGGAGAAUGAAGCCUGCCUCCCCUAUGGGAGCCUCCAUCAAGAAAUGACUCUGCCCUCACAGUGGUGGCCUUUCCUGAUCAACAGCAAAUCUGUGUCCUUUGGCUUUUGAUUUGCCCUGUGUUCUCCCAACUCAACUGACCUUUGAGGCAGGGCCAGUUCCCUUUACACUGAAGUGAUGGAUGGCUGCUGUGAGUAUCUUCACUCACUGCCUCCCAUAGCGCUCCUUUCUCCCCUGCCUACCUCCUCUGUCCACAGGCCUGGUAUUCAGUUCCCAUAAUUUGUUCGCAGAACUUUGCAUCUUUAUCUCUCAGGUUCAAAUGUGAAUGGACCUGAGGAAGCUCAGCAUUGCCAAAAGGCUGAAGGGCAUGCCUAACGAAUGUGAGAAACUGUGAGAACCAGGCAGAGGAGCCAGAGGAGAGGUGCGCACCUGAGCUGGAUGUGCUGGAUGAAGGAGUGGCCAGGUGACUUCAUUAACCUCUCCAGAAGAAGAAACGCUCAGUCUUAAAGCUCAUAAUGGCAAAAGCCACAGAGCUGGGAUCCAGGAUGCUAGAGACGUGCCCAGCAACUCUGGAGGCAGCGAGAAACCAGCGAGCGCAAGGCCCUCAGCAGGUGAUGGUGGGCGAGCUUCCCAGGCCUGCUGGAACAAAAUACCGCCAACUGGGCGGCUUCAGGCCCCAGAAAUGUAUCCAUCCGCAGUUCUGGAGGCUGGACGUCUGACAUGAAGGCGCUGACAGGGACCUACAGGGAUCGUAUACUGAAUGAUUAAAAGUUGUUAAAACCCCAGAUGAUUGAACCUACUGAUUAAGCAACUGCAUGGAUGUCCAAGUCAAUUAACAGGGCUCUGAUGGUCGCCAAGUGUUAUAACCCUGGACUGGAAAGGCAAGGGAUUUAUUCAAGCUGGAGUGCUUCUCAUGCUUCCUCUACCAGAGCUUGAUCUGAGCCAAGUCUUGAUUAACCAUGACCUCAUCUUCAUCAUUGACAUCAUGGGACUGCAACCUUCUGACCACCUCCAUCCAUGGCCAUUUGAGGACCAUCAUAGAUGGCACAGGAUGUAUUACAGUAUGAACUCUCUGGAGUAUUCAGAAAACUAUAAAUGACUACAAAGCCUUUUCUUUCAAUCCAAGACUUUAAAAUUGCUGCAAAAUAAGAUGUUAAGUAGAGGGAUUGAGAUGAGUUCAGCUUUCUGUCUGAUGAUACGGUUGCUCAAUUUGGUAAGGCCAAGUCUAGAAAUGGUAGUAAGGGUAAUGUCUCAAUCACUCUACUCAGACCCCAACUUGGAGUUAAUGAGUAUCUCUGGGAUUGAAGGUCAGAAUCAUUACUUUAUUACUGAUGUAUUUGAGGUUAUCUCAAGAGAAUGAGCAGACUGGUGGCAGGCACUAGAAUCUUGAACCCCAUCCAAGUCUACACUGAUCUUAAAAGUUCCAGUUCCAAAGUUACCAGUUCUCUAAUGGGAGAGACAAUCCUAAAACCCAGUCCCAGUAGUCUGUUAGAAUUAUAGGGAGUCAUAUAGCUCUUCAAAUCCAUGUGUCGAUAGCUGGCUCAACUAGUGGUGAGCUUCCCAUCCCUGGAGAUAUUCAAGCAGAGGCAGGAAGGUCAUCUGUCAAGUAGGCCAUGGAUCAGAUUCUUGAAGAGGCAGAGGAGGGAAUCCAUGAAUUCUCUUGUAACUCUGAAAGUCCGCAUCUAAUAAAGGUGGACACAGACAAUCCAGUAGGAAAAAAUUCACUGUGAAUUAUGCCUAAUAUAUAUAUCUGCUAACACCUUUCUUCAGAUCAUGCUCUAGUGUCUAAGUUUACUUUCUAAUUCACAAAUCCAAGUGCACCACUUCAUUGCUAAAGUCAACAACCAUCCCCUUUUAUAGUUCUCUGUGGUCCACCCUGACUACAAAACCUUUGCAAUCAGACCUUCCUCUUUCCCUUUGGACCCCAUCCCUUACCAUUCCCCUUCUUAUCUCAGAGCAUGACAUAAACUUGGAUGCCACCUAUAUCAGCUAGCUAUUGCAGUAAAACAAAUGACCCCCAAACAUGGUGGCUUACAACAAUAAACAUUUCAGAAUUCAGAAGUGGUUAGCUGUGUGGCUCUGGCUUGAGGUCUCUGGGGAGGUUACAGGAAAGAUGUCAGGCAGGUCUCAGCUAUCUGAACACUUGGCUGGGCUGGGGAAUCUGCUUCCAAGAUGGCGCUCUCACAUGUUUCCGGUUAUUGUCUUCAAGUUCUUCUUCAGAGGGGCUUCUCCAUGGGCUGCUUGAGCAUCAUUACAACAUGUGGACUGACUUCCCCCAGAGUGUGAAAUCCAAGAGGCACCAAGACAGGAGCCAUGAUAUUUUUGAUAGCCUAGCCUUGGAAACACACACAAUCAUUUUGGCAGUAUUUCACAGGUUACACAGAUUGGCUUUUUUCAGAAUGAGAGGGGACUACACAAGGGCUUGGAUACUGGGAGGCAGAGAUCAUUGGGGGCUUUCUUGGAGGCUGCCUGUUGCACUCAUAACUCUGAACAUGCUGUUCUCCUCGAUUGCCCUUGCCUCUUCUCUGCCUAGUAUUCUCCUAUCCAUCCUUCCAGAAUCCUUUCAAAUUCCACCAGCUUU
Long non-coding RNA from Equus asinus (donkey), 3660 nucleotides. NCBI's taxonomy places the organism in Eukaryota, Metazoa, Chordata, Mammalia, Perissodactyla, Equidae. The record is from Ensembl.